ACAGCUGAGCACCCUGAAUGCACCCAAUCCUAUCUGAUCUCAGAAGCUAAGCAGGGUCGGCCCUAGUUAGUACUUGGAUGGGAGUUUUUAUUUUUAAACUCUAACUUGUGUUCAAGCUUCUGUU
This 124-nucleotide ribosomal RNA is filed under the name Meriones unguiculatus (Mongolian gerbil). Lineage: Eukaryota; Metazoa; Chordata; Mammalia; Rodentia; Muridae. The record is from RNAcentral.